ACGCCGCCAGUCGCCCAAAUCUUCCAGCGAGACCUCCUCAGCAAGGUGCCUGUCUGCCUGGCCGCUGCAGUCCAACGCGGCAACUUUUCCCCCCAAAGACACCCGCCCUCUUUCCGGGUCUUCCACCAAACCUUCCUCCCCGGCCACACCAGCUAAUUCUCCACGGCCAUGGCGACCAGCGCGAAGCGGAAGCAAGAGGAGACUCAUCUGAAGAUGCUCCGGGAAAUGACUAGCCUUCCCGCGAAUAGGAAAUGCUUCGAUUGCGACCAGCGCGGCCCGACUUAUGUCAACAUGACAGUGGGCUCCUUCGUGUGCACUACCUGCUCAGGCAUCUUGCGAGGGCUGAACCCCCCACACAGAGUGAAGUCUAUCUCCAUGACCACGUUCACACAGCAAGAAAUGGACUUCCUACAGAAACACAGCAACGAGGUCUGUAAACACAUCUGGUUGGGUCUCUACGAUGACAGGACAUCAGUUGUUCCAGAUUUCCGGGAGCCGCAGAAAGUAAAAGAGUUCCUCCAAGAAAAAUAUGAAAAGAAAAGAUGGUAUGUGCCUCCAGACCAGGCAAGGGCAGUAGCAAGCGUCCAGGCCUCGGUGUCUGGCUCUUCCGCCAGCAGCACUGGUAGUACCCCAGAAGUGCAGCCUUUAAAGACCUUGCAGCUCAACAAGACCCCACUUCGUCAGUCCCCUGGUUUAGGUCGCUCUCAGGCUCACAUCACAGCUCAGGAGAAGAAGUUCGACCUGCUGUCAGACCUGGGGGGUGACAUCUUUGCUGCCCCGCCCACACAGGCCGCCACCUCCACCAACUUUGCCAACUUUGCACAUUUUCAAAGCCAGUCAGCACCUCAGGCUAAUUCAGACUACAACUUUGCCAACUUUGAUGCAUUUGGGAACACUGCAAUUCCAUCCCAUCUGAGCACGUCCCCCCCCUCAAAGUCCUUUUCCACAGGAAGAGGUGUGCCAAUCCCGUCAAUGUCGAGUGCUGUCCCUACCCAGUCCCAAACUGGGAGCUGCUCAGAAGAUCGUUACGCUGCUCUGGCUGAGUUGGACAACAAGCUGAGCUCCUCUGCAGGCAGCAAUGUGCAAGGGAAUUUAUUUGGUCCCGUGCUCGGCUCCUCGCCAGCCCAGAAUCCACCUGUUCUACCCAGCAUGCAGCCUGGCUAUGGAGGUGUCCCUUCCACGAAUCCCUUUGUUGUUGUGGCGGUUGCCUCGGAGAUGGCGACCAACCCUUUCCAAGCCAAUGGCAGAGCUCCAGCUGCAGCCUCAUUUGGUACUGGCUCUAUGAGCAUGCCCGCUGGCUUUGGGAAUGCGUCUUCAUACUGCCUUCCGACCAGUUUCAGUGGAAACUUCCAGCAGCAAUUCCCUGGCCAGGCCCCCAUCCCUUACUCUCAACCCGGGGCCUACCACCCUCAGUCCAAUGGAAGUUACAGCUGUGCUCGGUUGAGCGUGGCAAAGGUGGUCCACAUUGGUCUGACUACGGCCCUGCAUUCCCAGCCUAUGGUCCAAACAAGCCCUCCAUGACGCCUUUUGGUCAACCAAUGGCUGGUCCUGGCAUGUCCAAUAACCCCUUCAUGGCGGGAACCCCUACCGGGCCGUUCACUUCGGGGGGUUCCACAACCAACCCAUUCCUGUAGCACAACUCCCAGUCCUCACCAGCAGAGGGCAGCAUGCAGCACAUAGUCAACGCACCGUUCCGUCACGCUAUUAGUGGCAGUACAUUUCUUACAAAAAACGUUUACACUAUUAAGAAGUGCAAAGGACUAUAUUCAAGGGACUGUUAGCGGGGAAAAUGUACUGUUUGGACUAUAUUCAUGAUAUGCUUUUUAUUCUUUGUUUAUGACUGCGUGCAUAUCAUUUGUAAUCACAUUUACGUAUGUGUUAUGUAUAACAGGUGAGUAGACACCGUGUGGAGAAACCACUACAUGCUAUUGUAAGUAAAGGUUUACACUUUAUGAUCUACAGGGUUCUCUAUAAACAUCCAUUGUCUGGGGUAUGGCCCACCCAUGGAGAUGCAGGUAUUUCAUUUCAAAAAAGGGAUUGUUUUAUUGUUCUUUUAGCAUAAAUGCUACUAUACUGGCACUUGGGCCCAAAUUGUCCAUGAGUAACCUUUACAGGCAGUUAAAGUUGCCUCAAACCAAACGUGUACUGUAUUUCAUAUGCAGUUGCAAGCUGGAAACUAAGGUUAGAGCUUUUGAGUAAAUGGAUGUGUGCCAUAGAGCACAGAUGCAGUAAAGCCGCAUGAUGAUUUGGAUGAACUGUGCAACAAAUAUCAUCCAAAUAUGCUCCCUUGUUGUUGAGGGCUGUCAGAUGAGCCGGUCUCAAAUGUUCACAAUGAACAGCGUUAACAUAAGAUUCAGUAUUGCUUCAAGCGCUGAAUAUGCUCUGUCUAAUCGAGGCCUCUUGACUCUGGACGUGGAUUAGGGUCCCCAUUUGUGCCGCUAGUGACUAACAAUGAACUUUGUGUGUUUCUUGUCUUUGCAAGAAUAGCUAAGUCAAUGUGUACAUAUAUAAAUAUAUGUAUAAAUAAAUUAAAAGAUUUUUAAAUACUGCAUUUGUUUGUGGAA
This is an RNA transcript of Nerophis lumbriciformis (worm pipefish), 2564 nucleotides long. It is a transcript of the gene named ArfGAP with FG repeats 1b, with no coding region annotated. The record is from RefSeq and is a predicted model, not a curated record. NCBI's taxonomy places the organism in Eukaryota, Metazoa, Chordata, Actinopteri, Syngnathiformes, Syngnathidae.